UAUCGCGAUAGGUCUAUAAUUCGAGGG
Molecule: small RNA, 27 nt
Filed under: Bombyx mori (domestic silkworm)
Lineage: Eukaryota; Metazoa; Arthropoda; Insecta; Lepidoptera; Bombycidae
Description: ovarian small RNA-23673
Source: RNAcentral